Molecule: ribosomal RNA, 516 nt
Filed under: uncultured bacterium
Lineage: Bacteria
Description: bacterial SSU rRNA
Rfam family: Bacterial small subunit ribosomal RNA
Source: RNAcentral
GACGAACGCUGGCGGCGUGCCUAAUACAUGCAAGUCGAACGAACAGAUGGGAGCUUGCUCCCUGAUGUUAGUGGCGGACGGGUGAGUAACACGUGGGUAACCUGCCUGUAAGAUUGGGAUAACUUCGGGAAACCGAAGCUAAUACCGGAUAACAUAUGAAACCGCAUGGUUUCAUAUUGAAAGAUGGCUUUUGCUAUCACUUACAGAUGGACCCGGGGCGCAUUAGCUAGUUGGUGAGGUAACGGCUCACCAAGGCGACGAUGCGUAGCCGACCUGAGAGGGUGAUCGGCCACACUGGGACUGAGACACGGCCCAGACUCCUACGGGAGGCAGCAGUAGGGAAUCUUCCGCAAUGGACGAAAGUCUGACGGAGCAACGCCGCGUGAGCGAAGAAGGCCUUCGGGUCGUAAAGCUCUGUUGUUAGGGAAGAACAAGUACCGUUCGAAUAGGGCGGUACCUUGACGGUACCUGACGAGAAAGCCACGGCUAACUACGUGCCAGCAGCCGCCGUAAGAC